This 834-nucleotide ribosomal RNA is filed under the name Salmonella enterica. RNAcentral describes it as "partial 23S ribosomal RNA". It matches the Rfam family "Bacterial large subunit ribosomal RNA", at positions 353 to 1191 of the family's 2925-position model. The record is from RNAcentral. Lineage: Bacteria; Pseudomonadati; Pseudomonadota; Gammaproteobacteria; Enterobacterales; Enterobacteriaceae.
CGCGAUACAGGGUGACAGCCCCGUACACAAAAGCGCAUGUGCUGUGAGCUCGAUGAGUAGGGCGGGACACGUGGUAUCCUGUCUGAAUAUGGGGGGACCAUCCUCCAAGGCUAAAUACUCCUGACUGACCGAUAGUGAACCAGUACCGUGAGGGAAAGGCGAAAAGAACCCCGGCGAGGGGAGUGAAAAAGAACCUGAAACCGUGUACGUACAAGCAGUGGGAGCACCCUUUGGGGUGUGACUGCGUACCUUUUGUAUAAUGGGUCAGCGACUUAUAUUCUGUAGCAAGGUUAACCGAAUAGGGGAGCCGGAGGGAAACCGAGUCUUAAUUGGGCGUUAAGUUGCAGGGUAUAGACCCGAAACCCGGUGAUCUAGCCAUGGGCAGGUUGAAGGUUGGGUAACACUAACUGGAGGACCGAACCGACUAAUGUUGAAAAAUUAGCGGAUGACCUGUGGCUGGGGGUGAAAGGCCAAUCAAACCGGGAGAUAGCUGGUUCUCCCCGAAAGCUAUUUAGGUAGCGCCUCGUGAAUUCAUCUCCGGGGGUAGAGCACUGUUUCGGCUAGGGGGCCAUCCCGGCUUACCAACCCGAUGCAAACUGCGAAUACCGGAGAAUGUUAUCACGGGAGACACACGGCGGGUGCUAACGUCCGUCGUGAAGAGGGAAACAACCCAGACCGCCAGCUAAGGUCCCAAAGUCAUGGUUAAGUGGGAAACGAUGUGGGAAGGCCCAGACAGCCAGGAUGUUGGCUUAGAAGCAGCCAUCAUUUAAAGAAAGCGUAAUAGCUCACUGGUCGAGUCGGCCUGCGCGGAAGAUGUAACGGGGCUAAACCAUG